RNAcentral lists this ribosomal RNA (504 nucleotides) under uncultured bacterium. Its description in RNAcentral is "partial 16S ribosomal RNA". It matches the Rfam family "Bacterial small subunit ribosomal RNA", at positions 30 to 523 of the family's 1533-position model. The record is from RNAcentral.
AUUGAACGCUGGCGGCAUGCCUUACACAUGCAAGUCGAACGGCAACAUGGAGAGCUUGCUCUCUGAUGGCGAGUGGCGAACGGGUGAGUAAUGCAUCGGAACGUACCGUGUAAUGGGGGAUAACGUAGCGAAAGUUACGCUAAUACCGCAUACGACCUGAGGGUGAAAGCAGGGGAUCGCAAGACCUUGCGUUAUACGAGCGGCCGAUGUGAGAUUAGCUAGUUGGUGAGGUAAAGGCUCACCAAGGCGACGAUCUGUAGCGGGUCUGAGAGGAUGAUCCGCCACACUGGGACUGAGACACGGCCCAGACUCCUACGGGAGGCAGCAGUGGGGAAUUUUGGACAAUGGGGGCAACCCUGAUCCAGCCAUGCCGCGUGAGUGAAGAAGGCCUUCGGGUUGUAAAGCCCUUUCGGCCGGGAAGAAAUCGCACAGGCUAAUACUCUGUGUGGAUGACGGUACCGGCAUAAGAAGCACCGGCUAACUACGUGCCAGCCGCCGCAGUAA